AUGCACGGAGGCCUUCAACUAGGUCCUGGCAACACGUUUCCACACCCUGCAUGGGACUCAGUUCGUGGCAGCCAGCACGAUGUAGCGUGACCAAUCCACAGCCUCGCCAGUACAUCUGCCACAUGUCGACUGUGUUUGGGAAUGUUUCUACAACUAGUGAAUGACUCUACAACUAGUGAAUGACUCUACAACUAGUGAAUGACUCUACAGCUGGUGAAUGACUCUACAACUAAUGAAUAACUCUACAACUG
Long non-coding RNA from Homarus americanus (American lobster), 251 nucleotides. RefSeq lists it as uncharacterized. The transcript is spliced from 2 exons. The record is from RefSeq and is a predicted model, not a curated record. NCBI's taxonomy places the organism in Eukaryota, Metazoa, Arthropoda, Malacostraca, Decapoda, Nephropidae.